UGCAGAAAAGUAAUGAAAGGUACAACAAAGUUUUAGUCACAACAAGACUAGUUCAAAGGUGCAGAAAAAUACAGCAAUACAGUUUCAUUAGAAUGACAAAAGUAUAGCAGACCACUUUGAUGCCUCUGCAUCCAUUCCUUAUCCAUCAACCUUCAACUUUUCAAAUUAAGAGUCUUCUUCCCUAUAAAAUCAACAAAAAACAGCAGUAAUAAGGGGAUUGAUUUUUUU
Molecule: long non-coding RNA, 228 nt
Filed under: Lathyrus oleraceus (garden pea)
Lineage: Eukaryota; Viridiplantae; Streptophyta; Magnoliopsida; Fabales; Fabaceae
Description: Pisum sativum (pea) long non-coding RNA (PSAT_LNC030778)
Source: RNAcentral